AGUGAACGCUGGCGGUAGGCCUAACACAUGCCAGUCGAACGGCAGCACAGUAAGAGCUUGCUCUUACGGGUGGCGAGUGGCGGACGGGUGAGGAAUACAUCGGAAUCUACUUUUUCGUGGGGGAUAACGUAGGGAAACUUACGCUAAUACCGCAUACGACCUACGGGUGAAAGCAGGGGAUCUUCGGACCUUGCGCGAUUGAAUGAGCCGAUGUCGGAUUAGCUAGUUGGCGGGGUAAAGGCCCACCAAGGCGACGAUCCGUAGCUGGUCUGAGAGGAUGAUCAGCCACACUGGAACUGAGACACGGUCCAGACUCCUACGGGAGGCAUCAGUGGGGAAUAUUGGACAAUGGGCGCAAGCCUGAUCCAGCCAUACCGCGUGGGUGAAGAAGGCCUUCGGGUUGUAAAGCCCUUUUGUUGGGAAAGAAAAGCAGCAGGUUAAUACCCCGCUGUUCUGACGGUACCCAAAGAAUAAGCACCGGCUAACUUCGUG
RNAcentral lists this ribosomal RNA (492 nucleotides) under uncultured bacterium. Its description in RNAcentral is "partial 16S ribosomal RNA". It matches the Rfam family "Bacterial small subunit ribosomal RNA", at positions 29 to 507 of the family's 1533-position model. The record is from RNAcentral.